UUAGUAUAGAGUUAAGUUAUUUAAGUUUUUAAUUUGUUAUAUUAAUAAAUUAUGUAAUAAUUAAAAUAAUAUAAAAUUUUUUUUGUUUUAGUAUAAAAUUUAAAAUAGAUAGUUUUAUUUUUAAAUGUAAAUGGAUAUUUUGAAAUAAAUUAAAAAUAUAUUAUUGAUUAAGUAAAAUUUAUUUUUUGUACCUUUUGUAUCAGGGAUUAUUAAUUAAAUUUUAGUAAUUAGUUUAANNUUCUCGAGUUNAUUAGAGCUAAUAUAUUAUUUAAGUUAAUGUAGAAUUAUUAUUUAAAAUUUUAUAUUAGAGGAGAAAUUCUAGUCAAUAGUUAAGAUAUCUAGNUUUUUUAGAAAUAAAUUUAAUUUAUUUAUUAAAUUUGAGAGUUGAAAUUUUAAUUUAAAUACUUUUAUUUAAUAGAAAAAAUUUAAGGGAUUAGCUUUAAAUUUAAAGAUUAAAAAUUGUUUUGUUAUUUUAUUUAAGGUGGAAUUAAUAAAAAUUUUAAAUAAAAAUGUAUUUUCUUUAUAAAUUAUAGAUUUAGAAUUGAUUAUUAGUUUAAAGUAUUUAAUAAUUUAUUAAAAAUUUAUUAUUAAAUUUAUUAACGGUUUUNAUUAUUUAUAAAAAUUAUUAAUUAAANAAUUUAAUUUAUUUAWUAAKGAWAAUAUUAUUAUAANUUAUYGNRUUWUUUAAUUNUUAUUUUUAAANUUAAWARAWAAUUUUAUUAAAUUUAUUAUUUAAAUAUAAUUAUAAGGAACUAGACAAAUAAAAUAUCUACCUGUUUAACAAAAACAUGUCUUUUUGAUUAUAAUUUAAAGUCUAAUCUGCCCACUGAGAAUAACUUAAAUGGCCGCGGUAUUUUGACCGUGCAAAGGUAGCAUAAUCAUUAGUUUUUUAAUUGAAAGCUUGUAUGAACGAUUGAAUAAGAUAUUUAUUGUCUCAUAAUUAUUUAUAUUAAAAUUUAAUUUUUAAGUUAAAAAGCUUAAAUUAAAUUAAAGGACGAGAAGACCCUAUAGAUUUUUAUAAAUAAAUAUUUAUAUUUAAGUAAUUUUAUUAUUAAGAUAAUUAAUAAUUUAUUUUGUUGGGGUGACAAAAAAAUUAAACUAACUUUUUUAUAGAUUUAAAAUAUAACAUUAAUGUAUGAAUUUUUAAUAGAUAAGAAUUUAUUUAUUAAUAUUGAUCCUAAAUUUUAGAUUAUUAGAAAAAAAUACCUUAGGGAUAACAGCGUAAUUUAUUCGGAGAGUUCAUAUUAAUGAAUGAGUUUGCGACCUCGAUGUUGAAUUAAGAAAAUGUUUAGGUGUAGAUGCUUAAAUAAUAGGUCUGUUCGACCUUUAAAUUCUUACAUGAUUUGAGUUCAGAUCGGCGUGAGCCAGAUCGGAUUCUAUCCUUAAUUARUUAWUNAAUAUUUUUGUACGAAAGGACUUWAUAUUUURAAUAUUUUUAUUAUAAAUUGAAUAAAAUUAAUUUUUUG
RNAcentral lists this ribosomal RNA (1466 nucleotides) under Pachycephus smyrnensis. RNAcentral describes it as "16S ribosomal RNA". The record is from RNAcentral. Lineage: Eukaryota; Metazoa; Arthropoda; Insecta; Hymenoptera; Cephidae.